CCUACGGGUGGCAGCAGUGAGGAAUAUUGGUCAAUGGACGAGAGUCUGAACCAGCAAAGUAGCGUGAAGGAUGACUGCCUUAUGGGUUGUAAACUUCUUUUAUAUGGGAAUAAAAUGUUCCACGUGUGGGAUUUUGUAUGUACCAUAUGAAUAAGGAUCGGCUAACUCCGUGCCAGCAGCCGCGGUAAUACGGAGGGUCCGAGCGUUAUCCGGAUUUAGUGGGUUUAAAGGGAGCGUAGGUGGAUUAUUAAGUCAGAUGUGAAAGUUUGCGGCUCAACCGUAAAAUUGCAGUUGAAACUGGCAGUCUAGAGUAUGGUAGAGGUGGGCGGAAUUCUUGGUGUAGCGGUGAAAUGCUUAGAUAUCAAGAAGAACACCGAUUGCGAAGGCAGCCCACUAGAAUACAACUGACACUGAGGCGCGAAAGUGUGGGUAGCAAACAGGAUUAGAUACCCCAGUAGUC
RNAcentral lists this ribosomal RNA (460 nucleotides) under uncultured bacterium. RNAcentral describes it as "partial 16S ribosomal RNA". It matches the Rfam family "Bacterial small subunit ribosomal RNA", at positions 338 to 795 of the family's 1533-position model. The record is from RNAcentral.